UGAAGAACGUAGCGAAAUGCGAUAAGUAAUGUGAAUUGCAGAAUCCAGUGAAUCAUCGAAUCUUUGAACGCACAUUGCGCCCGCCAGCAUUCUGGCGGGCAUGCCUGUUCGAGCGUCAUUUCAACCCUCGACCUCCCUUUGGGGAAGUCGGCGUUGGGGACCGGCAGCACACCGCCGGCCCUGAAAUGGAGUGGCGGCCCGUCCGCGGCGACCUCUGCGUAGUAAUCCAACUCGCACCGGAACCCCGACGCGGCCACGCCGUAAAACACCCAACUUCUGAACGUUGACCUCGAAUCAGGUAGGACUACCCGCUGAACUUAAGCAUAUCAAUAAGCGGAGGA
Molecule: unclassified non-coding RNA, 341 nt
Filed under: soil metagenome
Description: partial contains 5.8S ribosomal RNA, internal transcribed spacer 2, and large subunit ribosomal RNA
Rfam family: 5.8S ribosomal RNA (bases 1-118)
Source: RNAcentral